Molecule: long non-coding RNA, 625 nt
Organism: Perca flavescens (yellow perch)
Lineage: Eukaryota; Metazoa; Chordata; Actinopteri; Perciformes; Percidae
Exons: 3
Source: RefSeq, a predicted model, not a curated record
CAGGUGUGGAGAUGCUGUCACCGAGAGUUUGAUAGCUAAUAUGGAGCAGCUGGGUGCUGACAGAGAGAUAAGUCUCUGUCUGUGAAUGACACAAUCAAACCUGAUCUUCCAUGUUACAAAGAGGGAGAUGAAAAGAAAUAUAUUUAAGUGAUGGAUUAUUGAGAUGUGGCUCCUUGGACAUCUCCUGCUACAUUGCACUCUGUAGCUGCAAUGCUGAAGAAAGCAGAACACUACCGCUGCCUUAAAAGGAGGGAAACAUCCUGCAGACACAGAGACAUGAACGUGACAAGAGAUGGUAGCUUUCCGUGCUGUACUCUCCACUGCAUUCACCACAGUCAGAUUCUCUCAAUCCAACCUCAUCUGUAUCUCUCUGACACUCUCCAUCUGUGUUUGGAAGGCAGACUCAUGCAGACCUCUUGACUGUCCUCUAGAUACAAAAUCAAAAGGUUGAAGAGACUCCCUUCAAGGUUAAAUGUGCACUACCACCUAGGAUACAAAGAUUCUUUGAACUGAUUUGUUGCCUUCAGACUGCAGCUCAGCAGCUUGUCAUUGGCUGAUGGAGGAUUCAAUAAAUAUUUCAGACAUCCCUCAAAACUUUAAUCAAACCACAAACUGUGUGCUAUCA